Molecule: ribosomal RNA, 932 nt
Filed under: uncultured candidate division CAB-I bacterium
Lineage: Bacteria
Description: bacterial SSU rRNA
Rfam family: Bacterial small subunit ribosomal RNA
Source: RNAcentral
GAGUUUGAUUCUGGCUCAGGGUGAACGCACAAGACGUGCCUAACACAUGCAAAUCGAAUGAAAAGAAUUAAUUAUUGUUUUCAUGGUGAACGGGUGAGUAACACAUAAGAAUCAGCUUUUAGAUAAGGCAUAAAAGAGUAAUAUCUUGGUAAUUCCUUAUAUGCGCAGCAGUGCUUAAAAAGGGGAGUCCCGUCUAAAAACGAGCUUAUGCCUGAUUAGCUAGUUGGCGAGUUAAAAGCUCACCAAGGCGAAGAUCAGUAGCUGGCCUGAGAGGGCGGCCAGCCACAUUGGGACUGAGACACGGCCCAAACUCCUACGGGAGGCAGCAGUGGGGAAUCUUCUGCAAUGGGCGCAAGCCUGACAGAGCGGCGUCGUGUGAAGGAAGAAGGCCUGAAAUAGGUUGUAAACUUCUUUUACUGAGUAAUGAAUAAUGACAACGCAGUAAAAAAGUAUCGGCUAACUCCGUGCCAGCAGCCGCGGUAAUACGGGGGAUGCAAGCGUUAUCCGGAAUCACUGGGCGUAAAGCGUCUGUAGGUGGUUUAGUGUGUUCUUAGUUAAAUUAUGAAGCCUAACUUCAUGAAAAGUAAGAAAACUAUUAGACUUGAGUACGAUAGGGGUAAGAGGAAUUCUUCGAGAAGUAGUGAAAUGCGAAGAUACGAAGGAGAAGAUCAUAAGCGAAGGCUUCUUACUGGGUCGUAACUGACACUGAGAGACGAAAGCUAGGGGAGCGAAUGGGAUUAGAUACCCCAGUAGUCCUAGCUGUAAACGAUGGAUAUUCGGUGCCGGAAAUUUUAUUAGAACAUUUUCGGUACCCUAGCUAACGCGUUAAAUAUCCCGCCUGAGGAGUACGCUCGCAAGGGUGAAACUCAAAGGAAUUGACGGGGGCUCGCACAAGCGGUGGAAGCAUGUGGUUUUAAUUUCGAUGCAAAGCG